UCUUUGUUAUGGUGUUCCAAGCA
RNAcentral lists this non-coding RNA (23 nucleotides) under Arabidopsis thaliana (thale cress). The record is from RNAcentral. Lineage: Eukaryota; Viridiplantae; Streptophyta; Magnoliopsida; Brassicales; Brassicaceae.